Molecule: long non-coding RNA, 1032 nt
Organism: Paramisgurnus dabryanus
Lineage: Eukaryota; Metazoa; Chordata; Actinopteri; Cypriniformes; Cobitidae
Source: RefSeq, a predicted model, not a curated record
UGAUGGCUACCCUGCAUGUUGGACACUGGCUGUUCUUCUCCAGCCAAACUUUAAUGCAGCUGUUGCAGAACACGUGGUUGUUGCAACAAAUGACGGGCUGACGCACCUGUGAUGUGACAGAACAAAACAACAGGGAUUGCUUUCAUUCCGGGAGACGCAGUAGAAGCCGUCCGCCCGGCCCGGCUCAGGCACUCCUCACUCGCCCCUGCAUGGAGCUCGUCUCCGCUCCUCUGUCCCGACCCUCUCUGAUUUAUCUUCUCCCGGUGGCCCGCGACCGUCCGAAGAGAUCCACGAAGGUCCUGACCUUCCCCCCAGACACCAGUUUCUCUCGGGAGGGGUUUUCCUUCUCUGGAUGAUUGACAGCUAAUUGGCAGCUAUAGAUAAAAACUGAUGGGUUUAGAACAACCGAAGGAGCGAGAAGAAGAAUAUGCAGACUUCAUAUUAGGGUCAUCCUGGGUUGAUGUCACAAAAUCAUUUAGAUGAAAUGUGCUUAGAAGUCUGUAUUCAUGCUAGUUUCAGUAUAAAAUAAAAAUGUUUGUAAUAAAAAAAGAUUUAUUGGUAAUUUAAGCUAACCAUAUAUAACACUUAUGCCUAAUAACAUUUUUUAAAUACUUUAACUGCUAUAGUUUAUGUUUUCUAUAACUGCUAUUGUAUAAGUAUUGUUAAGUCUUGUAAUAUGUUUUUAAUUUUUGUUAAAAGUUUAUUUAAUCUUUCUCAAACAGUGGACGACUCCAGACCGGAUCCGCGCCAAAGUCAACAGUUGAUCCGGCCAGAUCCGGCCCAGGGUCGUCUGCUUGUCUGGUUUGUUAAAAUAUAAUUUUUUUUAUCUUUAUCUUGUCUUUCCUAAAAAUUAAUUUAUAAACAUGUUAUUGUAUCUCUUUCUCUAUGUAUAAAGUGUAUUUUAAAUCAAAUUAAUAAAACAUUCAAACAUGAGUGCCUGUAAUAUUAUGAUACAAAUAUUCUGUAUUUAAAUAUUUCUUGUUUUUUAUUAGUAAAGUGUUUUGGCUGAUUGUACACGUGCCAAAAGAUGCU